CAUUAUGAUGAUACAACAAAAACAAAGCUGGAAUUACCAACUGAAAUUUUUAAGGAUUAUAAGUUUUUGCAUUAUUUCUGAUA
This 83-nucleotide small nucleolar RNA is filed under the name Metschnikowia bicuspidata var. bicuspidata NRRL YB-4993. The record is from RNAcentral. Lineage: Eukaryota; Fungi; Ascomycota; Pichiomycetes; Serinales; Metschnikowiaceae.